This 369-nucleotide ribosomal RNA is filed under the name Triticum aestivum (bread wheat). RNAcentral describes it as "partial small subunit ribosomal RNA". The record is from RNAcentral. Lineage: Eukaryota; Viridiplantae; Streptophyta; Magnoliopsida; Poales; Poaceae.
AUGGGUACACUCCUCGUAAAUUCAGUACCUGCAUCUGUUUUAUUCGAUUCAGGAGCAUCGCAUUCAUUCAUGUCAGAAGAUUUUGCAUACAAGCACGACACUAAAUGUGAGGAGAUGGACACUUCGGUAGUGGUAAAAACCCCGUUGGGACAAUGUCAAACCUCACUGGUUGGCAUCGACGUCCCCGUGGAAAUCGAAGGGCUGGAAUUCUAUGCCUCUCCCAUUAUCCUGAAGUCGUCUAACAUUGACCUUAUUCUGGGAAUGGAUUGGUUGAAAGCACAUACUGCUUCCAUAGUUUGCGCCACUAAGACCGUCCAUCUGCUACACCCUUCUGAUGAAAUAAUAAGCUACAAUGCUUGUCUAGUUUAG